ACCAUUCAUGUUUCUUAUGAGUUUUUUGACACUUGGAGUUUGGAAACAAAACGUUCGUUGGCGUUUUCAAACGCCGCAUCUUCGAAUUUCCUAGCUCUACAAUCUUAUAUCUAUCUAUCUAUUAUAAAAGACUGUUCUCGCACUCGUCAGCCCUCCACGUCGGAUUCCAGGUCACAAAGACAUUGAUUUUGGUGUCGACACGUGUCCUGAAAUACAAAACGCAACACUUCGUCGAGGCUUCCUUCCCUGCACACCGUUUCAUUUAAUCUCUCUUUAUGUUUGUUGGGCUUAUUUGCCCGUGUAUCUUUUAAUUUUUAGAGAAAAUUACUAAAAUGUUAUUGAAAAAUUGGUUUAUUACUAGAGUGUUAUACAUCUUUUUAAAAUUACUAAAAUGUUUGGAUACCCCUAGUAAAUGACAAUAAAGAUCUUUGGUUAGUUUUUUUAAUUGAAAUUAUUUUUAAAGAGUAAAUCCACAUCAGUAAUAACAAUCCACAUCAACAAAUCCAUCGUUUGGUUAUCCUCUACCUUCUUUCUUAUUGGUCAGUUUCUAUACUGCAUGGAUAAAAAUUCUUAACCUAACACACAAAUCUCUCUCUCUCUGACGCCUCAUUCUCCUCCAAUCCAUCACGUUUGACCUCCUCACCACCACCACCAUCGCCAUCUCUCCUUCCGCUCGUCACCACCAGCACCGCUCAUUCACUCAUCACCACCACCAUCGCAAUCUUUCCCAUCCGCCAUCGUUCGUCACCACCACCAUCCGCCAUCUCUCUCUCUCUCUCUCUCUCUCUCUCUCUCUCUCUCUCUCUCUCUCUCCACGAUCUGAUUCUCUUCUUCUUUUCCACUCUUGUAGUACUCUCUCCCUCUCUCUUUCUCUUCUUUGAAUCUGAUUUUGAUUUGUUUUUUUGGUAAAGGAAGUUGGAGGAAGCACAAGAGGCCUGACGAGACGAGGUGACUGGAGGUCUCUCUUUUGUUCCAUCACCGAACUGCCGCAGACCAAGUGGGAUUUGUAGUUGUUAAAGUCCGCUACUUUGGAUUGUUCUUUGCUCAAGGUUGAGGCAGAGAGAACAGAUCCGGAGGCAGGAGGCGAAGAGGAGGUCCGAGAGAAGACAGAGCCAGAGGCUGGAGAAGACAGAAAAUCGAGGCGGCUGGAGUUUUUUUUUUUUUAGGUGUAGGUUUUUUUUUUAAUUUGGUUUAGUGUAAACCGAGAUAGGGAAAUGUAGUGGUUUGAUUUUAUUUUUAAUUUCUGGUUUAGUUUUGUAAGCCGGAAUGGAUUCAACAGAGACGACACGGAGGAGUUCAUUGAAACUUGGAUACAUGGACGAGUUAUCACCGAAAUGGUACAGAAAACCUGUAUUUUUGGUUUUCUAUGUAAAAACAUAACUCACCUAUGUAUUUUUUGUUUGAUUUAUGCUAUGUUGACACUACUCAGUCGUGUCGUUUAUAUA
Long non-coding RNA from Brassica napus (rape), 1445 nucleotides. RefSeq lists it as uncharacterized. Lineage: Eukaryota; Viridiplantae; Streptophyta; Magnoliopsida; Brassicales; Brassicaceae. The record is from RefSeq and is a predicted model, not a curated record. The transcript has 2 exons.